GUCCACGCCGUAAACGAUGAGUGCUAAGUGUUGGAGGGUUUCCGCCCUUCAGUGCUGCAGCUAACGCAUUAAGCACUCCGCCUGGGGAGUACGGUCGCAAGACUGAAAACUCAAAAGGAAUUGACGGGGGCCCGCACAAGCGGUGGAGCAUGUGGUUUAAUUCGAAGCAACGCGAAGAACCUUACCAGGUCUUGACAUCCUUUGACCACUCUAGAGAUAGAGCUUUCCUCGGGGACAAAGUGACAGGUGGUGCAUGGUUGUCGU
This 264-nucleotide ribosomal RNA is filed under the name uncultured bacterium. RNAcentral's name for it is "partial 16S ribosomal RNA". It matches the Rfam family "Bacterial small subunit ribosomal RNA", at positions 793 to 1055 of the family's 1533-position model. The record is from RNAcentral.